Molecule: ribosomal RNA, 253 nt
Filed under: uncultured bacterium
Lineage: Bacteria
Description: partial 16S ribosomal RNA
Rfam family: Bacterial small subunit ribosomal RNA
Source: RNAcentral
UACGAAGGGGGCUAGCGUUGCUCGGAAUCACUGGGCGUAAAGCGCACGUAGGCGGAUCUUUAAGUCAGGGGUGAAAUCCCAAGGCUCAACCUUGGAACUGCCUUUGAUACUGGGGAUCUCGAGUCCGGAAGAGGUUGGUGGAACUGCGAGUGUAGAGGUGAAAUUCGUAGAUAUUCGCAAGGACACCAGUGGCGAAGGCGGCCAACUGGUCCGGUACUGACGCUGAGGUGCGAAAGCGUGGGGAGCAAACAGG